RNAcentral lists this ribosomal RNA (253 nucleotides) under uncultured bacterium. RNAcentral describes it as "partial 16S ribosomal RNA". It matches the Rfam family "Bacterial small subunit ribosomal RNA", at positions 524 to 776 of the family's 1533-position model. The record is from RNAcentral.
UACGGAGGGGACUAGCGUUGUUCGGAAUUACUGGGCGUAAAGCGCACGUAGGCGGAUUUGUAAGUCAGGGGUGAAAUCCCGGGGCUCAACCUCGGAAUUGCCUUCGAUACUGUUAGUCUUGAGUCCGGGAGAGGUGAGUGGAAUUCCUAGUGUAGAGGUGAAAUUCGUAGAUAUUAGGAAGAACACCAGUGGCGAAGGCGGCUCACUGGCCCGGUACUGACGCUCAUGUGCGAAAGCGUGGGGAGCAAACAGG